Molecule: ribosomal RNA, 213 nt
Filed under: Triticum aestivum (bread wheat)
Lineage: Eukaryota; Viridiplantae; Streptophyta; Magnoliopsida; Poales; Poaceae
Description: partial small subunit ribosomal RNA
Source: RNAcentral
AUGAAAUGGAGAGAAGUCCGGUGUUGCUUUAAAGAGCUCCACUAUGUGGAGGCAAAAAUACUAACUGGACCUUAUAAAAGGGGGUCGGAGACUGUGUGGGUUGAAUCUUUCCCUGCUGAGGCAAAAAUACUAACUGGACAAAGUGUUGGGGGAAGGAUACUCACAAGAUGCGCUGAAUUAUCUAAAUUCAAGAGCUUCAGCAAAGUUUACUGA